Molecule: long non-coding RNA, 520 nt
Organism: Harpegnathos saltator (Jerdon's jumping ant)
Lineage: Eukaryota; Metazoa; Arthropoda; Insecta; Hymenoptera; Formicidae
Exons: 3
Source: RefSeq, a predicted model, not a curated record
GAUACCUAACCAUUCAUAUCGUACGAGGUGUGAGUAUUGCAUAUGAAAAUCCGAAAUGGGCAUUCGGAGCGUUGAAAAACAAUAACGAUCACAGUGAGGUCAAUGGUGGGGAAAACGAUGUGUUUACGUUUACGAAGAUAGAGACGCGGAUUAUAAAAACAAUGUCGCGAUAGAGGUAGGCAGUUAGUCGCUGUUGGACGCCCGAAAUAGACGUGCCAUCGCCGCUCGUGCAGAAGGUUGAUCUAAUGAAGCUGCUGGCCACACGGAGUGAGUGCAGGUGCCGUACCGAAGGACUCGGUUCGGGCCGAGCAGAAUCAGCUCGAAGAUCUGUAGCAGAACGUGGCCGAUUCUGAGUCCUGCCGGCAGUUUCGUGAGUCAAAAGAAUAAUUUUUAAGACAAUGGGUUUAACGGUGUCUUGAUAUUUAUGAGACGUGAUUAAAAUCAAUGCAAUUUACCUAGUAGAUUUUUGCAUAUACACUGAGAGGAAGAACGGUUUAUUUCAUUACAAAUUAGAGUCACU